Molecule: non-coding RNA, 124 nt
Organism: Hydra vulgaris (swiftwater hydra)
Lineage: Eukaryota; Metazoa; Cnidaria; Hydrozoa; Anthoathecata; Hydridae
Source: RefSeq, a predicted model, not a curated record
AAAUAAAUUAUCUUUAUUGAUUUAUUCAUUUCAUUUAGUUGUGGCAUCUGCAGCAUUGACCGUCCCAAUUGUUUUAACUGCUUCAUCCGCCACUUCUGCUGUUUCAUCGGCAUCAUUAGUCUCU